Molecule: ribosomal RNA, 251 nt
Filed under: uncultured bacterium
Lineage: Bacteria
Description: partial 16S ribosomal RNA
Rfam family: Bacterial small subunit ribosomal RNA
Source: RNAcentral
GACGGGGGGGGCAAGUGUUCUUCGGAAUGACUGGGCGUAAAGGGCACGUAGGCGGUGAAUCGGGUUGAAAGUGAAAGUCGCCAAAAACUGGCGGAAUGCUCUCGAAACCAAUUCACUUGGGUGAGACAGAGGAGAGUGGAAUUUCGUGUGUAGGGGUGAAAUUCGUAGAUAUUCGGAAGAACACCAGUGGCGAAGGCGACUUACUGGACACAUAUUGACGCUGAGGUGCGAAAGCGUGGGGAGCAAACAGG